Molecule: long non-coding RNA, 748 nt
Organism: Esox lucius (northern pike)
Lineage: Eukaryota; Metazoa; Chordata; Actinopteri; Esociformes; Esocidae
Exons: 5
Source: RefSeq, a predicted model, not a curated record
UAUUUUUCAACCUAAAUAUCAAGACGACCGAUUUAAAAAAACAGAGUAAAGGACAUUCGGAGAUGAAUGAAACAACUGUGUAUGACAGCUACUGUAGCAAUCUCACUGAUGAGUACCUGUGAGAAUAUUUAAAUAACUAGCAAGUUAUAUGUGUAUAUUUUUACCAGGUUGAACGAGAAGAAGGUUCAGUUGUCAUUGAGCUCUGUUACCAAACAAAUGAAGCUGCUCCAGUAUGUCUUCAAGCAGCUGUAUGAGAGGUUGAGACACCUGGAGAUUGACACCCGAAACUGCAUAGCUAAAUUAAGACAUUUUACAGAUGAAGGUCCACAUCCUCAGAUCCUAUGAGGCUGACCAGAACUGUGUGCUGGAGUGGAGGUGCUCGAGACAGAGAGGCCCACAGCAGGGUCCGAUCACCAUCCGCGCCGAGUCUCCGAUCCAGUUGUGAAGGUUUCUGGGGUCACUCUAAGGACUACCUCAUUGCAGAAGAUGAUCGAAACCUCGACUCCCACCUCUCCUGACAGGAAUGAGCGAGCCAGCAGCAAGAGGAGGUAAAGAGACAGGAGGAACAGUGGAACUGAGAAGAGGUGUGGAAGAGAGAGGAUGAACACAGACAGAAGUCGGAAAGAAGAGUGAAAAGGAGAGACGAGGAAGAAGAGGAACACAGAAUAAGGCACAAGUGGUGGAGGAAGAGAGCAGAGUCCUGAGCCUUCGAAAUAAUGACUGGAAGGAGAAGACAUCUGUUUUAAAU